This 69-nucleotide transfer RNA is filed under the name Ictidomys tridecemlineatus (thirteen-lined ground squirrel). RNAcentral describes it as "Spermophilus tridecemlineatus (thirteen-lined ground squirrel) tRNA". It matches the Rfam family "tRNA". Rfam says of the family: Transfer RNA (tRNA) molecules are approximately 80 nucleotides in length. RNAcentral also lists the same sequence under 1 other name. The record is from Rfam by way of RNAcentral. Lineage: Eukaryota; Metazoa; Chordata; Mammalia; Rodentia; Sciuridae.
GGGGUUGUAGCUCAGUGGUAGAGCACUUACCUGGCAAAUAUCGGGCACUGGGUUCAAUCCUCAGCACCA